GUCGCAGAAUAGCAGAAAAUCGUCCAAACUGAUUAUGCACUGUAUCCCUAGUGAUCGAAGGCGAGCCAUGACCAGUUUCACCAGCUUUGUGAAGAUGAGUCCAAAAAGUAGGCAGGUGAACUGACAUGUCCGGUUGUGCCAACGGAAUUGUAAGAAUCUUCGGCAUGACUGAGCAUCCUUGAGGUCCAGUCGGGUGAACCAAU
This is a non-coding RNA of Pelobates cultripes (western spadefoot toad), 203 nucleotides long. Lineage: Eukaryota; Metazoa; Chordata; Amphibia; Anura; Pelobatidae. The record is from the annotation of a GenBank genome assembly.